GACGAACGCUGGCGGCGUGCUUAACACAUGCAAGUCGAACGGAAAGGCCCUGCUUUUGUGGGGUGCUCGAGUGGCGAACGGGUGAGUAACACGUGAGUAACCUGCCCUUGACUUUGGGAUAACUUCAGGAAACUGGGGCUAAUACCGGAUAGGAGCUCCUGCUGCAUGGUGGGGGUUGGAAAGUUUCGGUGGUUGGGGAUGGACUCGCGGUUUAUCAGCUUGUUGGUGGGGUAGUGGCUUACCAAGGCUUUGACGGGUAGCCGGCCUGAGAGGGUGACCGGCCACAUUGGGACUGAGAUACGGCCCAGACUCCUACGGGAGGCAGCAGUGGGGAAUAUUGCACAAUGGGCGGAAGCCUGAUGCAGCAACGCCGCGUGCGGGAUGACGGCCUUCGGGUUGUAAACCGCUUUCGCCCGUGACGAAGCGUGAGUGACGGUAAUGGGUAAAGAAGCACCGGCUAACUACGUG
RNAcentral lists this ribosomal RNA (468 nucleotides) under uncultured bacterium. Its description in RNAcentral is "partial 16S ribosomal RNA". It matches the Rfam family "Bacterial small subunit ribosomal RNA", at positions 28 to 507 of the family's 1533-position model. The record is from RNAcentral.